RNAcentral lists this transfer RNA (89 nucleotides) under archaeon. Its description in RNAcentral is "tRNA-Leu". It matches the Rfam family "tRNA". Rfam says of the family: Transfer RNA (tRNA) molecules are approximately 80 nucleotides in length. The record is from RNAcentral. RNAcentral also lists the same sequence under 2 other names.
GCAGGGGUACCCGAGCUGGCCAAAGGGGCAGGACUUAAGAUCCUGUGGAUGCAGAUCCUACGAGGGUUCGAAUCCCUUCCCCUGCACCA